Molecule: ribosomal RNA, 238 nt
Filed under: uncultured bacterium
Lineage: Bacteria
Description: partial 16S ribosomal RNA
Rfam family: Bacterial small subunit ribosomal RNA
Source: RNAcentral
UGGGUGAUCUGCCCUGCACUUCGGGAUAAGCCUGGGAAACUGGGUCUAAUACCGGAUAUACCUCAUUGAUCUCCUGGUUGGUGGGGGAAAGCUUUUGCGGUGUGGAUGGGCCCGCGGCCUAUCAGCUUGUUGGUGAGGUUACGGCUCACCAAGGCGUCGGACGGGUAGCCGGCCUGAGAGGGUGACCCGGCCACACGUGGGGACCGAGACCACGGCCCAGACUCCGUACGGGAGCAGC